AGUGAACGCUGGCGGUAGGCCUAACACAUGCAAGUCGAACGGCGGCACAGUAAGAGCUUGCUCUUACGGGUGGCGAGUGGCGGACGGGUGAGGAAUACAUCGGAAUCUACUUUUUCGUGGGGGAUAACGUAGGGAAACUUACGCUAAUACCGCAUACGACCUACGGGUGAAAGCAGGGGAUCUUCGGACCUUGCGCGAUUGAACGAGCCGAUGUCGGAUUAGCUAGUUGGCGGGGUAAAGGCCCACCAAGGCGACGAUCCGUAGCUGGUCUGAGAGGAUGAUCAGCCACACUGGAACUGAGACACGGUCCAGACUCCUACGGGAGGCAGCAGUGGGGAAUAUUGGACAAUGGGCGCAAGCCUGAUCCAGCCAUACCGCGUGGGUGAAGAAGGCCUUCGGGUUGUAAAGCCCUUUUGUUGGGAAAGAAAAGCAGCAGGUUAAUACCCCGCUGUUCUGACGGUACCCAAAGAAUAAGCACCGGCUAACUUCGUG
This 492-nucleotide ribosomal RNA is filed under the name uncultured bacterium. Its description in RNAcentral is "partial 16S ribosomal RNA". It matches the Rfam family "Bacterial small subunit ribosomal RNA", at positions 29 to 507 of the family's 1533-position model. The record is from RNAcentral.